This 253-nucleotide ribosomal RNA is filed under the name uncultured bacterium. RNAcentral describes it as "partial 16S ribosomal RNA". It matches the Rfam family "Bacterial small subunit ribosomal RNA", at positions 524 to 776 of the family's 1533-position model. The record is from RNAcentral.
UACGAGGGGUGCGAGCGUUGUUCGGAAUCACUGGGCGUAAAGGGAGCGUAGGCGGAGCGACAAGCGGUCUGUACAAUGCCGGGGCCUAACCCCGGACCUGCAGACCGGACUGCCGUUCUUGAGUCGUUCAGAGGCUGGCGGAAUUCCUGGUGUAGCGGUGGAAUGCGUAGAUAUCAGGAAGAACACCGAUGGCGAAGGCAGCCAGCUGGGGACGUACUGACGCUGAGGCUCGAAAGCGCGGGAAGCAAACAGG